This 74-nucleotide transfer RNA is filed under the name Mopalia retifera. Its description in RNAcentral is "tRNA-Ala". Lineage: Eukaryota; Metazoa; Mollusca; Polyplacophora; Chitonida; Mopaliidae. The record is from RNAcentral.
UUUUUUUUAAAGUAUUAUUCCUGGAACAAAGGAUCUAUAUCCUAUUUUUUAAAUGCAAAUCAAACCUUUUUUUU